RNAcentral lists this ribosomal RNA (492 nucleotides) under uncultured bacterium. Its description in RNAcentral is "partial 16S ribosomal RNA". It matches the Rfam family "Bacterial small subunit ribosomal RNA", at positions 29 to 507 of the family's 1533-position model. The record is from RNAcentral.
AGUGAACGCUGGCGGUAGGCCUAACACAUGCAAGUCGAACGGCAGCACAGUAAGAGCUUGCUCUUACGGGUGGCGCGUGGCGGACGGGUGAGGAAUACAUCGGAAUCUACUUUUUCGUGGGGGAUAACGUAGGGAAACUUACGCUAAUACCGCAUACGACCUACGGGUGAAAGCAGGGGAUCUUCGGACCUUGCGCGAUUGAAUGAGCCGAUGUCGGAUUAGCUAGUUGGCGGGGUAAAGGCCCACCAAGGCGACGAUCCGUAGCUGGUCUGAGAGGAUGAUCAGCCACACUGGAACUGAGACACGGUCCGGACUCCUACGGGAGGCAGCAGUGGGGAAUAUUGGACAAAGGGCGCAAGCCUGAUCCAGCCAUACCGCGUGGGUGAAGAAGGCCUUCGGGUUGUAAAGCCCUUUUGUUGGGAAAGAAAAGCAGCAGGUUAAUACCCCGCUGUUCUGACGGUACCCAAAGAAUAAGCACCGGCUAACUUCGUG